Molecule: ribosomal RNA, 274 nt
Filed under: uncultured bacterium
Lineage: Bacteria
Description: partial 16S ribosomal RNA
Rfam family: Bacterial small subunit ribosomal RNA
Source: RNAcentral
CUACGAAGGGUGCAAGCGUUAAUCGGAAUUACUGGGCGUAAAGCGCGCGUAGGUGGUUCGUUAAGUUGGAUGUGAAAGCCCCGGGCUCAACCUGGGAACUGCAUCCAAAACUGGCGAGCUAGAGUACGGUAGAGGGUGGUGGAAUUUCCUGUGUAGCGGUGAAAUGCGUAGAUAUAGGAAGGAACACCAGUGGCGAAGGCGACCACCUGGACUGAUACUGACACUGAGGUGCGAAAGCGUGGGGAGCAAACAGGAUUAGAUACCCUAGUAGUCC